UUUUUAUAAGGGAAACUACGGAAAAGCUGUAGCUAAUACUUGCUUUAAUGCGUUUGAAUCCUUUUGGAUUCCCGCGUAUGUACUUGUUAAGCCUUUAAGAAAGAAGUUUAUAACUUAAGGAAUUAUAACAAAGAAGUAACACAUAAUAAGGUUGCCUUAUUUAGUGUGUAUCAAUCGAGUUUCUGACCUAUCAGCUUUUGAUGUUAGGGUAUUGGCCUAACAUGGCUAUGACGGGUA
Molecule: ribosomal RNA, 237 nt
Filed under: Plasmodium ovale curtisi
Lineage: Eukaryota; Apicomplexa; Aconoidasida; Haemosporida; Plasmodiidae
Description: partial small subunit ribosomal RNA
Rfam family: Eukaryotic small subunit ribosomal RNA
Source: RNAcentral